CCGAAUGGGGAAACCCAGUGUGAUUCGUCACACUAUCAUUAACUGAAUCCAUAGGUUAAUGAGGCGAACCGGGGGAACUGAAACAUCUAAGUACCCCGAGGAAAAGAAAUCAACCGAGAUUCCCCCAGUAGCGGCGAGCGAACGGGGAGGAGCCCAGAGCCUGAAUCAGCAUGUGUGUUAGUGGAAGCGUCUGGAAAGGCGCGCGAUACAGGGUGACAGCCCCGUACACAAAAGCGCAUGUGCUGUGAGCUCGAUGAGUAGGGCGGGACACGUGGUAUCCUGUCUGAAUAUGGGGGGACCAUCCUCCAAGGCUAAAUACUCCUGACUGACCGAUAGUGAACCAGUACCGUGAGGGAAAGGCGAAAAGAACCCCGGCGAGGGGAGUGAAAAAGAACCUGAAACCGUGUACGUACAAGCAGUGGGAGCAC
Molecule: ribosomal RNA, 428 nt
Filed under: Salmonella enterica subsp. enterica
Lineage: Bacteria; Pseudomonadati; Pseudomonadota; Gammaproteobacteria; Enterobacterales; Enterobacteriaceae
Also listed under: 1 other name
Description: partial 23S ribosomal RNA
Rfam family: Bacterial large subunit ribosomal RNA
Source: RNAcentral